GAUGAACGCUGGCGGCGUGCCUAAUACAUGCAAGUCGAGCGAACGGACGAGAAGCUUGCUUCUCUGAUGUUAGCGGCGGACGGGUGAGUAACACGUGGAUAACCUACCUAUAAGACUGGGAUAACUUCGGGAAACCGGAGCUAAUACCGGAUAAUAUUUUGAACCGCAUGGUUCAAAAGUGAAAGACGGUCUUGCUGUCACUUAUAGAUGGAUCCGCGCUGCAUUAGCUAGUUGGUAAGGUAACGGCUUACCAAGGCAACGAUGCAUAGCCGACCUGAGAGGGUGGUCGGCCACACUGGAACUGAGACACGGUCCAGACUCCUGCGGGAGGCAGCAGUGGGGAAUCUUCCGCGAUGGGCGAAAGCCUGACGGAGCAACGCCGCGUGAGUGAUGAAGGUCUUCGGAUCGUAAAACUCUGUUAUUAGGGAAGAACAUAUGUGUAAGUAACUGUGCACAUCUUGACGGUACCUAAUCAGAAAGCCACGGCUAACUACGUG
This 497-nucleotide ribosomal RNA is filed under the name uncultured bacterium. Its description in RNAcentral is "partial 16S ribosomal RNA". It matches the Rfam family "Bacterial small subunit ribosomal RNA", at positions 28 to 507 of the family's 1533-position model. The record is from RNAcentral.